RNAcentral lists this ribosomal RNA (252 nucleotides) under uncultured bacterium. RNAcentral describes it as "partial 16S ribosomal RNA". It matches the Rfam family "Bacterial small subunit ribosomal RNA", at positions 524 to 776 of the family's 1533-position model. The record is from RNAcentral.
UACGUAGGUGGCAAGCGUUGUCCGGAAUUAUUGGGCGUAAAGCGCGCGCAGGCGGUUAUGUAAGUCUGAUGUUAAAGCCCGGGGCUCAACCCCGGUUCGCAUUGGAAACUGUGUAACUUGAGUGCAGAAGAGGAAAGUGGUAUUCCACGUGUAGCGGUGAAAUGCGUAGAGAUGUGGAGGAACACCAGUGGCGAAGGCGACUUUCUGGUCUGUAACUGACGCUGAGGAGCGAAAGCGUGGGGAGCAAACAGG